AAAGGUCCACCAAGGAAAUGAAUUCUUUAGUCUAUUUUGCAGAUGAUUGUCUUCCAUCAUAUAAUCUUUUCUAUCUUGUAUGGAUACUUCACAAUUCACAUAAGAUCAUUGUUCAUGACAUUUCAUCAAUAAAGGAAAGAAUGUUGAGUUUGCAAACAUGUACAAAGAAUGUAUACGAAACUAUGCAGCAUCAUUGGGAGGCCAUGUGAAAAAUGGAUGUGGAGAGUUCAUUCUGGCAAGCUAAGGAGGAGAUCUUAUGUUUCCAUCCUAUUUACAAUUGAGCACAUGAAUGCUUGGUAUCACCUUUUUUCAGACUAUAGGUUGACCUAGAAAUUACAUGAUUCUUGUUCUCUCCUGGGACAAGAGAUUAUCGGGCGACAUUGAUGUUAUGCUUAUUGGCAAUGGUUAUAUCAUCUUCCAAUUUGGUAAUGAAGAAGACAAAGUUCGUGCGUUAGAAGGAGGGCAAUGGUUUCUUCUACAGACACAGUUCGUUGGCUUUAUUUUGUUUGGCCACUUAUGAACCAGACAAACUCAAAGGUGGAUUUACUAGCAAAGAAAAGUGCUCAACUUCAGACUUCCAUUUCAAGAGUUUAAAUCCUUCAUUUGUAAAGGAUGACAUUCUUUUUAUGUAUUAAUUGACAUGCUGAAGGUUCAUCUUAUAAAAAUUUUCAUUCUUUUUUGUUU
Long non-coding RNA from Macadamia integrifolia, 684 nucleotides. RefSeq lists it as uncharacterized. The transcript is spliced from 2 exons. Lineage: Eukaryota; Viridiplantae; Streptophyta; Magnoliopsida; Proteales; Proteaceae. The record is from RefSeq and is a predicted model, not a curated record.